This 653-nucleotide ribosomal RNA is filed under the name uncultured bacterium. RNAcentral describes it as "bacterial SSU rRNA". It matches the Rfam family "Bacterial small subunit ribosomal RNA", at positions 190 to 863 of the family's 1533-position model. The record is from RNAcentral.
UGGCUCAGUGGGAAAAACUCCGGUGGUAUGAGAUGGACCCGCGUCUGAUUAGGUAGUUGGUGGGGUAACGGCCUACCAAGCCAACGAUCAGUAGCCGACCUGAGAGGGUGACCGGCCACAUUGGGACUGAGACACGGCCCAAACUCCUACGGGAGGCAGCAGUGGGGAAUAUUGCACAAUGGGGGAAACCCUGAUGCAGCGACGCCGCGUGAGCGAAGAAGUAUUUCGGUAUGUAAAGCUCUAUCAGCAGGGAAGAAAAUGACGGUACCUGACUAAGAAGCACCGGCUAAAUACGUGCCAGCAGCCGCGGUAAUACGUAUGGUGCAAGCGUUAUCCGGAUUUACUGGGUGUAAAGGGAGCGUAGACGGCUGUGUAGGUCUGAAGUGAAAGCCCGGGGCUCAACCCCGGGACUGCUUUGGAAACUAUGCAGCUAGAGUGUCGGAGAGGUAAGUGGAAUUCCCAGUGUAGCGGUGAAAUGCGUAGAUAUUGGGAGGAACACCAGUGGCGAAGGCGGCUUACUGGACGAUGACUGACGUUGAGGCUCGAAAGCGUGGGGAGCAAACAGGAUUAGAUACCCUGGUAGUCCACGCCGUAAACGAUGACUACUAGGUGUCGGGGAGCAAAGCUCUUCGGUGCCGCAGCAAACGCAAUAA